Molecule: non-coding RNA, 211 nt
Organism: Caenorhabditis elegans
Lineage: Eukaryota; Metazoa; Nematoda; Chromadorea; Rhabditida; Rhabditidae
Source: Ensembl
UCGGACACAUCAAUUUAUGCGCCUCCCGAAACUUUUGGCGCACUAUUCCACAUUUCAUUCCUAUUACGGCGGGAAAGGGGGCACUCCUUGGUUCGCGUCGUGGCGGGAAUAAGGAAGAAAGAAGAAGAAAAAUAGAAGAAAAAGAAGUGCGAAACGAAAAAGCAUGGCGGCGACCCCCAGGCCUUCUUCUCUCUUCUUCUAUUUUUCUUGU